UUUUUUUUUUUUUUUUUGGUUUUUGGUUUUUGUUUUAGCUGCUGCCAUGGCAUCCAGAAGUUCCCGGACCAGGGAACGAACACACACCACAGCAGUGACUGGAGCCACAGCAGUGACAAUGCCAGAUACUUAACCCACUCAGCCACCAGGGAACUCCCUUUGCAAUGUCGGUAUAAAAAAAUGCACAACCUGAAAGUUAAGAGUUAAGUUUUAUUUGGGGCAAAAUUAGGACUUAAUCCUGGAAACAGCAUCUCAGGUAGCCCUGAAAAACUGCUCUGGGGCAGCAGCCAUGGGAGAGCUAGGAUAUACAGGAGUUUUUGCAACGAAGGGGAGGUAUCAGGAACAAAAGAGGCCUGGGCUCACUGAAAUCAUUCCUUUGAUAUGCAUCUCAGCUAUCAGGACCCUUAUCCUGAGUUUUCACAGCCUGCAGGACUCACUGGCUCUCACCCUUGGAGGUGACUGCAUCCACCAACAACCGUGACAUUCUUUGUUUUAUCCUUAACUACAGCCUGGGAGGCAGUAUUUUAGAUACUUGAAAUACCACCCUAAGAGGAAAGGGGGAAUAUCAAGAUAAGAUAGAGGUGCGGAGGAGGUGCACGCAGCCAUACACACACUUUACAAAUUUUGUUCCUGAUCUGAAGGUUACCAGCAGACAUCACCAGGAAGGAUUUUAGUGUUUUUUAGAUAUGAGGAGAUGCAAGAAUUGGGCACAUAAAAUCUUAUCCUAAAAAUAUCUGACUCUCUGAAGCCCUGUUCUUCCAGUUUUCUCAGAGCACAGAGUGCCUCACUACUGAUUUUCACCCUGAGCUCUGCUGGGGGCGGGGAGUGCUGUGGGUCAGCAGCUAUAGUGGCUCACGAUUUAAUUCAUAUAGAGGCUGAUGGCAAGAACCAAACUUCAGUUCACAGCAACUUCAGAGAUGACAAAACAUGUAGAGGGAAAUAAAACAGCACAAUAAAUCUCAUGAACACGUGUCUAUUAUCUCAGGAUUUCAGUUGUUCCUGAACUGCAUGAAGACGUUGAGCCUCGUCUUAUUCAUAAUUUGGUUCACAGAAGCAACAUGAUCUCGAAUUUAAGGUUACUUUAGAAUAACUGCACUUGAAAAACAUCUAGACUUAGAUGAGAAUCUCAAUUUCUUGCUCCCAGUAAGGUGCUGAAAUUGUCUGAAUCACUUAGUCUUCAACACUUAAGCUCUCUCCUAUAAAAAUCACUCGGCCACAUGCUUUUUGCUUAUUUCAUGGAAUGGAAUAGCCUCUUGGGAGACCAACAAUUAUUAUUAUUAAUGAAUCCUCAGGCCUUGUGAACUCUUGACUCUGUGUGUGUCCUAUUCUCUAGUAAAUAUGCUUUCAAAAAUAAGCAAUGUUUGUCGGCCAAGAGUCAACUCAAAAUGAUCUCUGGACAUUCAUUCUGGUAUUCCUCAAAACCCAUUUUAACUUUGCCCAGACCAUGAGAAGCUGCCCCUCAUUACCCCUGCUCACCCCACCCCAGAAAAAUUGCUUAAUUUGUAUAUUUAAGAUUAAUACUUGCAGUAUUAGGCAACCCAGAUGUCAUUUAGCUUCAAAGAAAGAUUAUUACAUUUUUAUUAAUCCAAAAUUCCUGUACACCUGCUUAGCUUCUAUCUUAAACCAGAUUUCUUUUGAAGGCAAAUGGGCCUCAUUCUUCCCUCAGUUCUAACUAGAGGCAGUAUAAAUGACAGUUUGCAUUGAGGAGGAUUUAAAUGGAGAUGGUUCUUUACUCAGUCUUUGUGUAGGAUUAUACCAUAGACAUCUUCCAGGGCCAAAUUUAAAACACAUUUGUUUUAGAGUUUGCCAAGUCUGCUAUUAUUUUGCAGUUUUACUGCUAUUUGAUUUCUGUGUAAAAGUGGUUUUCUGUCUUCACUCUACUCCUCAAAGCCCACUUACUUCUUUCUAUCUCUGAUAUCUCUUUUCAGCAAAGGCAGUGAAAAAGGAUAGGAAAUUCAAAGUGGAUCCACUUCUCUUUGAAAAACGUUACGGUUCCUUCUACAAAAGCUAAGCACAAUCUUCCUGCCUUACUACCCAUUUUACCCCAUUGUAAUGAGCAUAGCAUAUAUUGUUUAUGGAGCUACUGAAAGUAUCCUGAGAAAUAAUUCAAAAAAUACUUGGUGGUUGGGAGCAUGUUUCACUCUACAACCUCAUGGAAUGUGUGCAAAAGCUGAGCUGAGCUCGCUGACCAAAUUAUACUCCUUUGGACUUAGACCAUUUUUUUCUCCUGAAACAUUAGGAGCACCUUCAUAUUUCCUGUUUCAUUUGGUUUACAGAGCCUUUUUCUUAGGAGGUCAGCAAUUGUAAUUUGCUCUUAAGUGUAGGGAAUACUCCCUGUAGCCUGACCUGGCCCAUACUGAAGUGGAACUAUAUGUUUUUUGCUCCUAAAUACAGUGAGCAUAGAUGGGGGAUGCCAGUAUACCAGCAGUCUGAACGUCCACGGUGUCAAUGUGGUAUGUUUUGUUUCCUAUCACAUGUCAGGAAUUCUCAGUUCCUGUCCAAGAGAAUGUGCUCAAUUGAAGUCUAUGAGAAAGCACUUUGCAAGAAAGAUGAAUAAGGACCUGGAAUAAAGGUCCACCCAAUGUCUUCAUUUAUUCGUAAAGCUCCUUAGGAACUCUCUCAGUGGACACCUGAAAUCUACCAUCAGAGUAAGCCUAAAAUUCUCUGAAGAACACCAUUCCCCACUCACAUUUUAAGUUAAAACCUUUGAGAGGUUGACACAUUUUCUUUGUGAUCACGAUCACAGUGUUUUCAGUGGCUCUGCACCGCGAGGGGAACAUCAUAGACAUUGUUUCAUUUGACCAUCUCCAUCGCUCUGUGAGGUGACUCUUAUUUUCCCUACCUCAACAGGUUUUAGAAACCUUACAAGAAGGUUUGGNAACUUGUUUAUUUCAGAUGUUCCAUCAAGUUCACAAAUGUCCACAAAGAGUCCAAAAACUCUUUUUUAAGAUGUUUACCCAUAAGAUAGGGACAAUAAUACUUACCUCGUAAAUUUUAAAAUAUUUUUCUUGUCGAUCAGGAAGUAAUAACUUAAAAAUUGGUGUACAAGAGACUAGAGGAAAAUAUGAAGAGAAAUAGUUUUUUUCCAAUGGGUUUAUGGAGUUUUAUUUCAGCCUAUCAGUCUCCAAAUUAGGCCACAGAUUUUAAAAAGGAUUUACCGUCGAAACUACUCACUUUAAGAACAAGCCUUGGAAUUCCCACUAUGGCACAGAAGGUUAAGGAUCUGGUGUUGUCUCUGUGGUGGCUCAGGUCACUGCUGAGGCACAAGUUCAGUCCCCAGCCCAGAGCAUUGAGGUUAAGGAUCUGGCAUUGCCACAGCUGUGAUGUGGGUUGCAGCUGUGGCAAUGUGGAAAUUCCAGGACCAGGAAUUUCCAUAUGCUGUGAGUGCAAACCCCCCCAAAGAAAAAUCACCUUCCAGAUUACCUUUAUAAUAAUAUUUAGUGAACAUAAAAGCCCUAUUUAAAAUAUCUUUGUUUGGUUUUAACCCUCAUAACUUAUCGUCAAAAACCACCUCUAUACAAUAAAGUCCUGGGUUAGAGCCAUGCAAAACAUGAUAGGCAGAACAAAAUUCUGCAAGAAACCACUGACAAUUAAAACUGGGAAAUCAUGAGCACAGAGCCCUGUCUGUACCCAUCCUCCUCAUGGCCUAGUUUGUAGACAAAAGCAAGUUCCUCACCCUGCCUGGGUCUCUAUUCUAUGAGAAAGUGAUUGACUAGAGGAUAUGACUCAAAGUUUCUUCAAGCUCUCAGAUUCUAAGUAAAUCUUUUUAGUUGAUUGAAAAAAGACAAUAGCCAGACCAUAAUGGUGGACAGCAGCCAGGGUCAGGGUGAAUCUGUUCAGCAUAAGAAUAAAGCACAUGUACCAAAAGGCAAGUCCAUAUGGGCCUAAGACUUGGUGGGUCACCUCUAAGUGAUGGAGAAAAAAUGUACUUCAGGUUUUCAGUUCUAUUUAUACCCAUAAGUAGUGACAUCUUUAAGAGAAACCUUCAGAGUUCUUAUGAAGAAAAAGUAAAGGACUAUUUGUGAUCUUGAAGGCAAUAUUCAUGGAAAAAUGUAUAUUGUUUUCAGAUUUUAAGCAAAAUCAAUGUUUAACAGUAUCUUUGGCAAAGGGAAAAUUGUGAACAACAUGGUAUGCAGCUGUAUAUGGAAAAACUAAAAAUGGAAGUCUAAUUUGGUCUUAAAUUAGAAACACAUCUGAGUUUUGUUAACAAUUUCAAUGAUAUUAAUUUGUUUCUUUCACUCCUUAAUUGUGUGUAUAUGUGUCAAAGAGAAUAGAGAAGAAAGAGAGUGGGAGGGGGAAGGAGAGGGAGAAAGAAGAAAGAAGAAAAGGAUUAAAAACAAGAAAGGGAGAGAUAAAAUAUAUGACAAAGAUAGAAGUUACAGUCCAUAUGUGGACUUCAUUCUGCUCACACAGGCUAGGAUGGCAGGAGCACUUUACCCAGAAAGAACAAAUCACUGAAUUCCUUUCAAAAUCCACUCAAAAGGCAGCAUGUUUAAGAGAAACCUGUGACUUCUUAGCUGUAUAAUCUAAUAGUGCUCCAGUCUAAACUUUUUGCAAUAACAGACACACAAGUACAAAACCAAACCACUAGAAAGCCCUAUGAGAUACCCAGAUGUGAAAGCUAUACUUUAUUAAAUUAUAAAAUUAUGGACAUAGGUAGAUUUAUUCUUAUUACCUGAACUCAGUAAUGAUUACUGAAUGACCAUAAAUUUUUCUAAUUUAGGCUAUACUCAAUUGCAAACAGGCCAGCUUCCCAUGAAGAUUCAAGGACGUCAUGUCUAUAGCCCGAGUACAGUCAAUUUCAUAGUAAUAAUUGAAACAAUCUAGCACAUUCUCUGAGAAGUGCAUUUAAUGCUAAAAAUAUGUACAUUGAUGGCUAGUCACAUGUACCCUUUAAGUCACACAAAAUCAGAAAGGAAGAAAUUGUGAUAAGAUUUCAUCUUUGUCACAAUCGCAUACCAAUCUAGUCCCUAAAUGACUUCAUAAAGGAAGAAAUUAGAAAAGAUUUCAUCUUUGUCACAAUUGCACUACCAAUCUAGUCCCUAAAUGACUUCUCAAUUCUCAAGGAUUCCAAGCUGACUCUUUUUGUUCUAUUUCUAAAUUUCUAAUCCACUCAAAUAGUGCUCUGGUAAAUCUGUACCAUUAAUUUUUAUAAGAAUAACUCAGGAGCUUGUUGACAGGGACUGUUCAGUUCCCUAACUGUAACCAAGUGAUUUCGAGUAGAUCUGGGUUGACACCAAGAACAUACCUUUUUAAUGAGCAAGGUCUAGAGUCUAGGAAAGUACAUAGACUGUACCUUGAGAAAUAUGGGAUAUUUCAUUUCUAAGGGUCCUUCUAAUUGUAAAAUGUUUAGACCUUGCAGAACAGAAAGUGGUACAGAGAGGCCAGAAGAGUGAUAAUGAUUUAGAGGAAGGAUACAUUAUAAAAGUAAAUGAAAAAUUCAUUCACUUGUCAGCACAUUUUGCCAAUAAGCCAAGCACAGUACAUGUAGCUGUUGAUAAAGACAUGAAAAGGACCUCCAAUUUGCUGGAGGUGACAGAUGAUAAACAAAUAAUUAUAAAGCAGUAGUAUCCAUGCAAUAAUGAAGAUGUUUUCUCUUAGAAGGGAAGAACUGAAAAGUUUUCAACUCUGUCAGAGAGAAUACUUGAGUUUAAAAGGAUAAGGAUAAGAACAGGAUCUAGAAUGGAUUAAGAAAGAGGAGGAAAUAGAAAAAAGAAUCAAAGCAACUGAUGCCAUGGAAAGAGGAAAGGAGAUGUAGGAAUACAGCUUGUAAGGUGUAUAGAGCAUAGGAGAAAUUGGCAAAGACUGAAUUUUGCCCUAGGUCCUAUGAUUCAAUAUACUUCUAAGGCUUUAAUCUCUUUUGCCUUUUUCUCUCAAAUUUUUUAUACCAAAAUUUCUACUAUUUUCUACUUGAGAUCUUUGGAACAAUGAGUCUAUGUUUUAUUUUGUUAAAAAAGCUAGAUUAUCAGUGUGUCUAAUAAGGUAAUCAUAAUAUUAUCAUUUUCUGUAGCUACAGGCUUCCAAGUAUUGAGAUUUAUUGAUGAUUUUGAAUUUUGGGGAAUCUGUUGUUUAUUUUCAUUUGUUGUUUUAUCCUUGUAUGCUCUAAAACAGAACUGUUUGGACAGUUUUUAAACACUUGACAAUCAUUUAAUCAAACUCUAUUCUCCUGUACUGCAAACUAAAUCCAAAGCAAAACUGGGCUCUGAUGUGUGUGUGUUUGUGUGUGUGUGUGUGUGUGUGUGUGUGUGUAUGUGAUUGAAAAGGCAAGUUAAUUGCUAUAUCCAUCCAUGGAAACAGUUUUUGGUGAAGUUUUUAAUAAAGUUUUUAGUAAAUUAUGUAUAAAAUGCUAUUCAGUUGCUAAAUAUUUUGUGUCCACUGCUGUUGUUGUUUUUAUAGUUCUUCUAAAAGAAAAAUAAAACUCCCGCUCUCUUAACCAAAUUUAGAAGCAUCUCAUAGGAAAAGCAAGAGGCUAAAUCUUUCUCUUUUUUCUUCUUUAUAAGCAUUUAAUUUAAUUUAUUUAUAUUUCUUUCACAUACAUGUAUAUAGUUUAUACAU
RNAcentral lists this long non-coding RNA (6555 nucleotides) under Sus scrofa (pig). RNAcentral's name for it is "lncRNA (ENSSSCG00015057208.1)". Lineage: Eukaryota; Metazoa; Chordata; Mammalia; Artiodactyla; Suidae. The record is from RNAcentral.